Molecule: ribosomal RNA, 516 nt
Filed under: uncultured Streptomyces sp.
Lineage: Bacteria; Bacillati; Actinomycetota; Actinomycetes; Kitasatosporales; Streptomycetaceae
Description: bacterial SSU rRNA
Rfam family: Bacterial small subunit ribosomal RNA
Source: RNAcentral
CAAGCCCUGGAAACGGGGUCUAAUACCGGAUAUGACACACGGCCGCAUGGUCUGUGUGUGGAAAGCUCCGGCGGUGCAGGAUGAGCCCGCGGCCUAUCAGCUAGUUGGUGGGGUAAUGGCCUACCAAGGCGACGACGGGUAGCCGGCCUGAGAGGGCGACCGGCCACACUGGGACUGAGACACGGCCCAGACUCCUACGGGAGGCAGCAGUGGGGAAUAUUGCACAAUGGGCGAAAGCCUGAUGCAGCGACGCCGCGUGAGGGAUGACGGCCUUCGGGUUGUAAACCUCUUUCAGCAGGGAAGAAGCGCAAGUGACGGUACCUGCAGAAGAAGCACCGGCUAACUACGUGCCAGCAGCCGCGGUAAUACGUAGGGUGCGAGCGUUGUCCGGAAUUAUUGGGCGUAAAGAGCUCGUAGGCGGCCUGUCACGUCGGAUGUGAAAGCCCGGGGCUUAACCCCGGGUCUGCAUUCGAUACGGGCAGGCUAGAGUUCGGUAGGGGAGAUCGGAAUUCCUGG